This is a long non-coding RNA of Cucumis melo (muskmelon), 498 nucleotides long. RefSeq lists it as uncharacterized. The transcript has 3 exons. Lineage: Eukaryota; Viridiplantae; Streptophyta; Magnoliopsida; Cucurbitales; Cucurbitaceae. The record is from RefSeq and is a predicted model, not a curated record.
CUUUAUCUUCUUCUCUAAGAUAACCCUCUGCUGUCGCCGCCUCAGUUAAAGUUAAGAUUGGUCUCUUUAGAAGCUUGAUGAUUUAAAGUGAUGAAUUAAGAGGAUUUUUCGACCUCCAUUUGAGUAACCUUGGAUCAAGUUAAUUGGAGAAUUUUACUAUCAACUAGGGAGUACCUUUGUUUGGCUAAAAUCUCCAGGCGAAGGUAAAGGUAGACGAAAGCUGGCGAGCGACAGAGAAGGAUCCGUGACAUGCCAUAUGGGGACUCAGUUUUGCUUCCGCGUUUAUGUUUCAAUGUUUUCAUAUUCCGUUUUUAAUGAAAAUUUAGUCUUCCCUCGUUUCAAAAAGGUGUCUCUUGUCAUUGUUUCUUUUUAGUAACGACCUCAGCUUAGUAUAAAGAGUUGGGUCGUUACAGAUACUUUGGUAGGAUUAUUGGAGAAGAUUAAUUUUGUUUUAGGAGAUUUCAAGUUUGACUUAAUUUGAAAGAAAUUGUUACAUUA